GAGGAAUAAGCAUCGGCUAACUCCGUGCCAGCAGCCGCGGUAAUACGGGGGAUGCAAGCGUUAUCCGGAAUCAUUGGGCGUAAAGCGCCUGUAGGUUGUUUAAUAAGUCUGUUGUUAAAGACUGGGGCUUAACCCCAGGAAAGCAAUGGAAACUACUAGACUAGAGUAUGGUAGGGGUAAAGGGAAUUUCUAGUGUAGCGGUGAAAUGCGUAGAUAUUAGAAAGAACACCGGUGGCGAAAGCGCUUUACUGGACCAUUACUGACACUCAGAGGCGAAAGCUAGGGUAGCCAAAGGGAUUAGAUACCCCUGUAGUCCUAGCCGUAAACGAUGGAUACUAGAUGUUGCGCUUAUUGUGCAGUGUCGUAGCUAACGCGUUAAGUAUCCCGCCUGGGGAGUACGAUCGCAAGGUUGAAACUCAAAGGAAUUGACGGGGGCCCGCACAAGCGGUGGAGCAUGUGGUUUAAUUCGAUGCAACGCGAAGAACCUUACCAGGGCCUGACAUACUGCAAAUUUUCUUGAAAGAGAAAAGUGCCUUCGGGAAUGCAGAUACAGGUGGUGCAUGGCUGUCGUCAGCUCGUGUCGUGAGAUGUUGGGUUAAGUCCCGCAACGAGCGCAACCCUCGUUUUUAGUUGCCAUUUUAUGGGUUCUCUAGAAAGACUGCCGGUGACAAACCGGAGGAAGGUGGGGAUGACGUCAAGUCAGCAUGCCCCUUAUGCCCUGGGCUACACACGUGCUACAAUGGCUAAGACAAAGAGUCGCGAAUUCGCGAGAAUCAGCUAAUCUCAUAAACUUAGUCUAAGUUCAGAUUGUAGGCUGCAACUCGCCUACAUGAAG
RNAcentral lists this ribosomal RNA (835 nucleotides) under Haptophyta environmental samples. RNAcentral describes it as "bacterial SSU rRNA". It matches the Rfam family "Bacterial small subunit ribosomal RNA", at positions 481 to 1325 of the family's 1533-position model. Lineage: Eukaryota; Haptophyta. The record is from RNAcentral.